CGCCGCGUCUGAUUAGCUAGUUGGUAGGGUAACGGCCUACCAAGGCGACGAUCAGUAGCCGGACUGAGAGGUUGGCCGGCCACAUUGGGACUGAGAUACGGCCCAGACUCCUACGGAAGGCAGCAG
This 126-nucleotide ribosomal RNA is filed under the name uncultured bacterium. Its description in RNAcentral is "partial 16S ribosomal RNA". It matches the Rfam family "Bacterial small subunit ribosomal RNA", at positions 229 to 354 of the family's 1533-position model. The record is from RNAcentral.